This 558-nucleotide ribosomal RNA is filed under the name uncultured bacterium. RNAcentral describes it as "partial 16S ribosomal RNA". It matches the Rfam family "Bacterial small subunit ribosomal RNA", at positions 355 to 905 of the family's 1533-position model. The record is from RNAcentral.
UGGGGAAUUUUGGACAAUGGGCGAAAGCCUGAUCCAGCAAUGCCGCGUGUGUGAAGAAGGCCUUCGGGUUGUAAAGCACUUUUGUCCGGAAAGAAAUCCUUGGCUCUAAUACAGUCGGGGGAUGACGGUACCGGAAGAAUAAGCACCGGCUAACUACGUGCCAGCAGCCGCGGUAAUACGUAGGGUGCAAGCGUUAAUCGGAAUUACUGGGCGUAAAGCGUGCGCAGGCGGUUUGCUAAGACCGAUGUGAAAUCCCCGGGCUCAACCUGGGAACUGCAUUGGUGACUGGCAGGCUAGAGUAUGGCAGAGGGGGGUAGAAUUCCACGUGUAGCAGUGAAAUGCGUAGAGAUGUGGAGGAAUACCGAUGGCGAAGGCAGCCCACUGGGCCAAUACUGACGCUCAUGCACGAAAAGCGUGGGGAGCAAAACAGGAUUAAUACCCUGGUAGUCCACGCCCUAAACGAUGUCAACUAGUUGUUGGGGAUUCAUUUCCUUAGUAACGUAGCUAACGCGUGAAGUUGACCGCCUGGGGAGUACGGUCGCAAGAUUAAAACUUAAA